CAGUAGCCACGGGAAUACGUAGGGCGCAAGCGUUGUCCGGAAUUAUUGGGCGUAAAGAGCUCGUAGGCGGUCUGUCGCGUCUGGUGUGAAAUCCCGAGGCUCAACCUCGGGCUUGCAUCGGGUACGGGCAGACUAGAGUGCGGUAGGGGAGACUGGAAUUCCUGGUGUAGCGGUGGAAUGCGCAGAUAUCAGGAGGAACACCGAUGGCGAAGGCAGGUCUCUGGGCCGCAACUGACGCUGAGGAGCGAAAGCAUGGGGAGCGAACAGGAUUAGAUACCCGUGUAGUCCCUGUCUCUUAUAC
RNAcentral lists this ribosomal RNA (301 nucleotides) under uncultured bacterium. Its description in RNAcentral is "partial 16S ribosomal RNA". It matches the Rfam family "Bacterial small subunit ribosomal RNA", at positions 509 to 807 of the family's 1533-position model. The record is from RNAcentral.